UACAGAGGGGGCAAGCGUUAUUCGGAAUUAUUGGGCGUAAAGGGCGCGUAGGCGGCCUGGCAAGUGGAAGGUGAAAUCCCUCGGCUUAACCGAGGAACUGCCCUCCAAAACUGCUUGGCUUGAGUCCGGGAGAGGUGAGUGGAAUUCCCAGUGUAGCGGUGAAAUGCGUAGAUAUUGGGAGGAACACCAGUGGCGAAGGCGGCUCACUGGACCGGAACUGACGCUGAGGCGCGAAAGCGUGGGGAGCAAACGGG
RNAcentral lists this ribosomal RNA (254 nucleotides) under uncultured bacterium. RNAcentral describes it as "partial 16S ribosomal RNA". It matches the Rfam family "Bacterial small subunit ribosomal RNA", at positions 524 to 776 of the family's 1533-position model. The record is from RNAcentral.